CCUACGGGUGGCAGCAGUGAGGAAUAUUGGUCAAUGGGCGGAAGCCUGAACCAGCCAAGCCGCGUGCGGGAAGAAGGUACAGCGUAUCGUAAACCUCUUUUGUCAGAGGACAAAGGCGGGUACUAGUCCCCGGCUGAGGGUACCUGACGAAUAAGCAUCGGCUAACUCCGUGCCAGCAGCCGCGGUAAUACGGAGGAUGCAAGCGUUAUCCGGAUUUAUUGGGUUUAAAGGGUGCGCAGGCGGCCUGUUAAGUCAGCGGUAAAAGCCCGGGGCUCAACCCCGGCGAGCCGUUGAAACUGGUGGGCUGGAGUGGGAGAGAAGUACGCGGAAUGUGCGGUGUAGCGGUGAAAUGCUUAGAGAUCGCGCAGAACACCGAUUGCGAAGGCAGCGUACCGGCUCCACACUGACGUUGAGGCACGAAAGCGUGGGGAUCGAACAGGAUUAGAUACCCGGGUAGUC
This 459-nucleotide ribosomal RNA is filed under the name uncultured bacterium. RNAcentral's name for it is "partial 16S ribosomal RNA". It matches the Rfam family "Bacterial small subunit ribosomal RNA", at positions 338 to 795 of the family's 1533-position model. The record is from RNAcentral.